This 259-nucleotide long non-coding RNA is filed under the name Elaeis guineensis (African oil palm). RNAcentral describes it as "long non-coding RNA (EGUI_LNC035017)". Lineage: Eukaryota; Viridiplantae; Streptophyta; Magnoliopsida; Arecales; Arecaceae. The record is from RNAcentral.
GCCAGUAGAAAUUUAAUUUCUAUAUCUAUGUUGGUGUAGGAUAAUUAUAACUUCCAUUUUAAUAAUGACCUGUGUUCAAUUUAUUUUGGAAAUAAAAUUAUUGCACGUGCCUAUUUGAUAGAUGGUCUUUAUCAUUUGCAUAUGGAUGCGAGUAUAAAUGUUAACAAGCAAGUUAAGAGUGCCGUAGGGUCUAAGAGACUUAAAGAUAGGAUUAGCCAAAAGUAUCUAUGGCACCUUAGGCUAGGCCAUAUUAGAGAGG